Molecule: ribosomal RNA, 471 nt
Filed under: uncultured bacterium
Lineage: Bacteria
Description: partial 16S ribosomal RNA
Rfam family: Bacterial small subunit ribosomal RNA
Source: RNAcentral
GACGAACGCUGGCGGCGUGCUUAACACAUGCAAGUCGAACGAUGAAGCCUAGCUUGCUAGGUGGAUUAGUGGCGAACGGGUGAGUAAUACGUGAGUAACCUACCUUUAACUCUGGGAUAAGCCUGGGAAACUGUGUCUAAUACCGGAUACGACCAAUCUCCGCAUGGGGUGUUGGUGGAAAGCGUUAUGUGGUGGUUAUAGAUGGGCUCACGGCCUAUCAGCUUGUUGGUGAGGUAACGGCUCACCAAGGCGACGACGGGUAGCCGGCCUGAGAGGGUGACCGGCCACACUGGGACUGAGAUACGGCCCAGACUCCUACGGGAGGCAGCAGUGGGGAAUAUUGCACAAUGGGCGCAAGCCUGAUGCAGCGACGCCGCGUGAGGGAUGACGGCCUUCGGGUUGUAAACCUCUGUUAGCAGGGAAGAAGAGAGAUUGACGGUACCUGCAGAGAAAGCGCCGGCUAACUACGUG